Molecule: ribosomal RNA, 467 nt
Filed under: uncultured bacterium
Lineage: Bacteria
Description: partial 16S ribosomal RNA
Rfam family: Bacterial small subunit ribosomal RNA
Source: RNAcentral
GACGAACGCUGGCGGCGUGCUUAACACAUGCAAGUCGAACGGAAAGGCCCUGCUUUUGUGGGGUGCUCGAGUGGCGAACGGGUGAGUAACACGUGAGUAACCUGCCCUUGACUUUGGGAUAACUUCAGGAAACUGGGGCUAAUACCGGAUAGGAGCUCCUGCUGCAUGGUGGGGGUUGGAAAGUUUCGGCGGUUGGGGAUGGACUCGCGGCUUAUCAGCUUGUUGGUGGGGUAGUGGCUUACCAAGGCUUUGACGGGUAGCCGGCCUGAGAGGGUGACCGGCCACAUUGGGACUGAGAUACGGCCCAGACUCCUACGGGAGGCAGCAGUGGGGAAUAUUGCACAAUGGGCGGGAGCCUGAUGCAGCAACGCCGCGUGCGGGAUGACGGCCUUCGGGUUGUAAACCGCUUUCGCCUGUGACGAAGCGUGAGUGACGGUAAUGGGUAAAGAAACACCGGCGAACUACGU